This 240-nucleotide RNase P RNA is filed under the name Microcaldota archaeon. RNAcentral describes it as "Candidatus Micrarchaeota archaeon (hot springs metagenome) RNase P RNA component". It matches the Rfam family "Archaeal RNase P". Rfam says of the family: Ribonuclease P (RNase P) is a ubiquitous endoribonuclease, found in archaea, bacteria and eukarya as well as chloroplasts and mitochondria. Its best characterised activity is the generation of mature 5'-ends of tRNAs by cleaving the 5'-leader elements of precursor-tRNAs. The record is from RNAcentral. Lineage: Archaea; Nanobdellati; Microcaldota.
GAGUGAUGAGCCGACAGCUUUCCCGCAAGGGAGGAAGUUCCACCCAUCGCGAAAGCUUGAGAACCUAAGGUUCGGACGGGAACAGAAACGAGACUGGCUGAUUCAGAUGAGAAUGAAGCAAUGAGAUGGGUCAAACCAGGUGAAACGCGCCCGUUGCAAAAGCGAGAUGUGCGAUGCAAGGCUUUGAGCCGCUUAGUCCAAUGCUGUCUAAAACAAAAGGUGGGCUAUGGCUCAUCACUC